AAACACUUAUUCGUUUCCAAAAUAAACACCAGCUGUUUAGUUUUUCCUCACAAAUGUCGUCCAUUGCGGUUUUCCUGUGUUUGCUGGUCAUCCUGGUUUCAGGAUUAAAAGCGACCUAAAGGACCGUCACUAUAGUUUCAUUUGGGAGCACAACACAUGGAUAUUUUGCGCUAUUUAACAUGACGACACGUACAACGCAGUCAGAUAAUCAUCAGGUUUGUGGUUUGUACUGAUCUGGCAUCGACGCUUUUGGGCAAGGGCGUAGAUUUGGCAUGGACGGAAGGGACGUGUCCCCACCAAUAUCCAGCAAUUAUUGAAUUGUCCCCACCAAUAAUUUGAUCUCUUCGAGUAAAGAAAGAAAAAAAAACGAUCUGUCAAAACGUCUCAGUCACCCAGCGGUGCAGAAAGAGUUAAAUUACGUUCUCUACUGGAGUCCUACGUCAUGUGACAAAUAUGGCCAAUGUGAUUGGCUGUGCCUUUCAGCGAGCUCUGUUUAGUUUUAGCAGCAGCAAGCCUGCGCUGCGAGGACCUGCGAGGAGGAGAGGAGGACGGCAGCAAAAAGGAAGAACCUGGAUAUAAGAAAGUAUUUUUCAAAGAAACUUAGCUCAUUGUGAAGCUUGGAGAAGAUGCCCCUCUUCAGUGUCAGGGUCCCAGAGAUGCAGAGAUCACCCUGUUGGAGUGGAACAGAGCUGACCUCAAAUCAGAUGAUUAUGUCUUCUUGUACAGAAACCAGCGCUCAUAUGAAAGCUACCAACAUAAGUCCUUCAAAGGCCGAGUGAACCUGAUGGAUCCAACCAUGAGGGAUGGAAAUGUUUCAGUGAUGCUGAGGAAUGUAAGUAUCAACGAUACUGGAACGUACAAGUGUCAGAUUACAACCAAGGAAACAGAAAGUGUCGUCCAUGAGUGCUCCAUCAGCCUCAGAGUCACAACCUCAGAUAAACGCACCAAGGAGUCCCAGACUGAGUCCACAGAUGGAGGAGAGAGGGUUAAGUGUCUGUCUGUCAUCAUCCUCGUCCUGUCAGUUUUUGUUGUGCUUAUUACUGAUAUUAUGUAAUUGCCCGCAGAACCUGAAAAAUGUGUCUGAUCUCUUUACUGACAGCGACUUCUGCUCUUCAACAAAGACGAAUCUUUCAAGUUAGAGCUUCAUGCAGCACAUUCACAGCACUGCAGGCCUCACCAAUCAUUACAGUUAAAUCAGUUCAUGUUAGAUCAGUGCUGUGGGUUCCCAGUGUGGCUGUAAAAAGCUUUGAGUUUAACCCUGGGUUUUAUGUACCUGUAGCUUUAUUGUUUGAAGUCUGCAGCAGAGCUUGGCUUUCCUUUGAGAACAGGCAGCAGGUGGAGGAGCAGCUGGUGUGCACAGGGGAGUAAAUGAUAGGUUGAGUCUUUCCAAAAGAAAAAAUCAAUCUAUCCUUUUUCUUUAGCUUAUCUGGAGUGGGUUAUGGGAGCCCCAGCCUAAGCAGAGAAGGCCAGGCCUCCUUCUCACCAGCCACUUCCUCCAGGGUGUCCUGGAGCCUCCUCCCAGUGGAAAAAAUGAAACGAGUAGGUGUUGUUGUAGUUUUUGUUUGGGGGGGGGGGGUUGUUUUGACCAACAGAAUCAGCAUUAACAUGUAAUAUAAGCUAUAUAUAUCACAGCGCAUGUAGGCAGAGGUGGAUGCAUGCAGUGCAUCUACUGUAGCAAGACUUGGAACAUCUUAGAUUCCAAAGUAUACUACUGAUUAAGCUCUUUAUUACCUUCUUCAAGCACUUACUUGCACUUUUAAAAAAUAUUUGUCUUUUAACCAACUGCAGGCACUUUCCUCCUUUUUGCUGAGACCUUAUCAGUGGUUUCGAUUCAGAUGACCUCACAUUUCAGAUCACUGGCUCGGGCAUCUCUGGACUGUUUUCAGCACAGCUGCAGUUUUAAGCUCUCAGCAGACAUCCUAUUAUGUCCUCUUGUUCUUGUGUCUCUGUGAUCAAUCAUCUUUAAUGAGUCAGAACUCGGACUUUUCAAAUAAUUUUCACUUUUGGGAGGUGGACAAAAUCACAGGGAGGCUAAUGUGGUGAAUAGGGUGGUGAUCAAAGAUUUCACUCGGUAGACUUUAAUGUACUGAGCGACAGUACAGAGAGGGACCGACACCUCCUACAAUUUGUGUUUAAAACUGACUUGAAUUUCAUUCCUGAGCAAUUUUCUGAUGAAGACAUUCAAAGACUGAGGGCAGGUUUAAAAACAGCAGCUGCACCUAAAACAGUCCAGAGGUUUCAGAUUUUUUUUUUUUAUGAAUCUGUUCUUAGAAUGUACUUUUAUUAUAGAUGUGUAUUAAAGUUAUCUGUUAGUCAGUGUUAGGGGACAAAGAUCAGCCGUUACCAGUUUGGUUUUAAUGCGCAGCAUAUAAUCCUGACAAAUAUCCAACACAACAGGCACUGAGUGAUGAGUCAAAUACAUUUUAAAUAAUCAAUUCAUAUAAUGGAAAUCUAUCAGUGCAAUGAUUGGAUAAAAUCUGUUAAAGAAACUGAGCAGAAGAUGUGCUCAUAUCAGGAGUAAACAAGACUGUGUGUGUGUGUGUGUGUACAUGUCAGAUGGAUGGUAUACAUACAUGUAUCCAUACAUAAGCUAUAAUGUGUUGUGAUUACGUUAUUAUUAAAAUUUGCAGUGUUCCUUGUUUUCUUUAUUUUUUUUAUUAACCGUAUGUGUGAAUGUUUUGACUGCACACAUUUGACUUCAUCUAGAAGACUGAAGGAUGUGUAUGGUGGUUUUUAUGUGAGGCCUUUUAUUUUGUAAGUAAGUAGUAAGUGGGGGCAGGCCCCAUGAUCGGAAAGUCGGGGGUUCGAAUCCAUUGAACUGCUACCCUGAGAUACCCUGAGCAAGGUACCGUCCCUACACACUGCAACCUGGGCGCCAAUGGCUGCCCACUGCUUCCCACUGUCUGUUUAAUAUCUUUUUAAAAUAAUGUUAAAUCUUAUUUUGGGUCAAAGUCAGAAAACAUUUAAAACACAUCAUGUCAGAUUUGACUGCUGAUUCUAUACAUGCAUAUUUUAUGCCCUGGUGACCAUUAAUAUUAAAGGAGGUGUAGAUGAUGCUUCACAAAUAACGACCAGUGUUUCCUGAUGGCUGCAGAGCAUGGAGAUAUGCUGUCGUCCUGCAGCUGUGGCGCCAGAGAUGAGUCCAUCCUGUGGAGAUGAAAGCUUAGUUUAACUUUGUCGUGUUGCAAAUCACAUCAAGUUUCACCUGGAUGAGGAAACAGUCUUGGAGUCAUAACUGGUGAUGGUGAUCUUAGACUAGUUACUUUUCCUCCCACCUCCUUAGAUCACCAUGACCUGCAUGACUGAAAACCUACACAGACUUGGUUAUUGUUUUUAUUGAUGUUUUUGACUCACUGAGUUCUGUUUAAAGGAUCAAGGGUCAACACCCCCUCCUCACAUCCAGCUGUGGCCCUGCCACCCUCAGAGCUCUGUGCAGACCCC
Pelmatolapia mariae (spotted tilapia) is the source of this 3441-nucleotide RNA transcript. It is a transcript of the gene named V-set domain containing T-cell activation inhibitor 1-like, with no coding region annotated. NCBI's taxonomy places the organism in Eukaryota, Metazoa, Chordata, Actinopteri, Cichliformes, Cichlidae. The record is from RefSeq and is a predicted model, not a curated record. The transcript is spliced from 4 exons.